Molecule: ribosomal RNA, 2931 nt
Filed under: Escherichia coli
Lineage: Bacteria; Pseudomonadati; Pseudomonadota; Gammaproteobacteria; Enterobacterales; Enterobacteriaceae
Description: 23S ribosomal RNA
Rfam family: Bacterial large subunit ribosomal RNA
Source: RNAcentral
GGGUUGUGAGGUUAAGCGACUAAGCGUACACGGUGGAUGCCCUGGCAGUCAGAGGCGAUGAAGGACGUGCUAAUCUGCGAUAAGCGUCGGUAAGGUGAUAUGAACCGUUAUAACCGGCGAUUUCCGAAUGGGGAAACCCAGUGUGUUUCGACACACUAUCAUUAACUGAAUCCAUAGGUUAAUGAGGCGAACCGGGGGAACUGAAACAUCUAAGUACCCCGAGGAAAAGAAAUCAACCGAGAUUCCCCCAGUAGCGGCGAGCGAACGGGGAGCAGCCCAGAGCCUGAAUCAGUGUGUGUGUUAGUGGAAGCGUCUGGAAAGGCGCGCGAUACAGGGUGACAGCCCCGUACACAAAAAUGCACAUACUGUGAGCUCGAUGAGUAGGGCGGGACACGUGGUAUCCUGUCUGAAUAUGGGGGGACCAUCCUCCAAGGCUAAAUACUCCUGACUGACCGAUAGUGAACCAGUACCGUGAGGGAAAGGCGAAAAGAACCCCGGCGAGGGGAGUGAAAAAGAACCUGAAACCGUGUACGUACAAGCAGUGGGAGCACGCUUCGGCGUGUGACUGCGUACCUUUUGUAUAAUGGGUCAGCGACUUAUAUUCUGUAGCAAGGUUAACCGAAUAGGGGAGCCGAAGGGAAACCGAGUCUUAACUGGGCGUUAAGUUGCAGGGUAUAGACCCGAAACCCGGUGAUCUAGCCAUGGGCAGGUUGAAGGUUGGGUAACACUAACUGGAGGACCGAACCGACUAAUGUUGAAAAAUUAGCGGAUGACUUGUGGCUGGGGGUGAAAGGCCAAUCAAACCGGGAGAUAGCUGGUUCUCCCCGAAAGCUAUUUAGGUAGCGCCUCGUGAAUUCAUCUCCGGGGGUAGAGCACUGUUUCGGCAAGGGGGUCAUCCCGACUUACCAACCCGAUGCAAACUGCGAAUACCGGAGAAUGUUAUCACGGGAGACACACGGCGGGUGCUAACGUCCGUCGUGAAGAGGGAAACAACCCAGACCGCCAGCUAAGGUCCCAAAGUCAUGGUUAAGUGGGAAACGAUGUGGGAAGGCCCAGACAGCCAGGAUGUUGGCUUAGAAGCAGCCAUCAUUUAAAGAAAGCGUAAUAGCUCACUGGUCGAGUCGGCCUGCGCGGAAGAUGUAACGGGGCUAAACCAUGCACCGAAGCUGCGGCAGCGACACUAUGUGUUGUUGGGUAGGGGAGCGUUCUGUAAGCCUGUGAAGGUGUACUGUGAGGUAUGCUGGAGGUAUCAGAAGUGCGAAUGCUGACAUAAGUAACGAUAAAGCGGGUGAAAAGCCCGCUCGCCGGAAGACCAAGGGUUCCUGUCCAACGUUAAUCGGGGCAGGGUGAGUCGACCCCUAAGGCGAGGCCGAAAGGCGUAGUCGAUGGGAAACAGGUUAAUAUUCCUGUACUUGGUGUUACUGCGAAGGGGGGACGGAGAAGGCUAUGUUGGCCGGGCGACGGUUGUCCCGGUUUAAGCGUGUAGGCUGGUUUUCCAGGCAAAUCCGGAAAAUCAAGGCUGAGGCGUGAUGACGAGGCACUACGGUGCUGAAGCAACAAAUGCCCUGCUUCCAGGAAAAGCCUCUAAGCAUCAGGUAACAUCAAAUCGUACCCCAAACCGACACAGGUGGUCAGGUAGAGAAUACCAAGGCGCUUGAGAGAACUCGGGUGAAGGAACUAGGCAAAAUGGUGCCGUAACUUCGGGAGAAGGCACGCUGAUAUGUAGGUGAAGUCCCUCGCGGAUGGAGCUGAAAUCAGUCGAAGAUACCAGCUGGCUGCAACUGUUUAUUAAAAACACAGCACUGUGCAAACACGAAAGUGGACGUAUACGGUGUGACGCCUGCCCGGUGCCGGAAGGUUAAUUGAUGGGGUCAGCGGUAACGCGAAGCUCUUGAUCGAAGCCCCGGUAAACGGCGGCCGUAACUAUAACGGUCCUAAGGUAGCGAAAUUCCUUGUCGGGUAAGUUCCGACCUGCACGAAUGGCGUAAUGAUGGCCAGGCUGUCUCCACCCGAGACUCAGUGAAAUUGAACUCGCUGUGAAGAUGCAGUGUACCCGCGGCAAGACGGAAAGACCCCGUGAACCUUUACUAUAGCUUGACACUGAACAUUGAGCCUUGAUGUGUAGGAUAGGUGGGAGGCUUUGAAGUGUGGACGCCAGUCUGCAUGGAGCCGACCUUGAAAUACCACCCUUUAAUGUUUGAUGUUCUAACGUUGACCCGUUAUCCGGGUUGCGGACAGUGUCUGGUGGGUAGUUUGACUGGGGCGGUCUCCUCCUAAAGAGUAACGGAGGAGCACGAAGGUUGGCUAAUCCUGGUCGGACAUCAGGAGGUUAGUGCAAUGGCAUAAGCCAGCUUGACUGCGAGCGUGACGGCGCGAGCAGGUGCGAAAGCAGGUCAUAGUGAUCCGGUGGUUCUGAAUGGAAGGGCCAUCGCUCAACGGAUAAAAGGUACUCCGGGGAUAACAGGCUGAUACCGCCCAAGAGUUCAUAUCGACGGCGGUGUUUGGCACCUCGAUGUCGGCUCAUCACAUCCUGGGGCUGAAGUAGGUCCCAAGGGUAUGGCUGUUCGCCAUUUAAAGUGGUACGCGAGCUGGGUUUAGAACGUCGUGAGACAGUUCGGUCCCUAUCUGCCGUGGGCGCUGGAGAACUGAGGGGGGCUGCUCCUAGUACGAGAGGACCGGAGUGGACGCAUCACUGGUGUUCGGGUUGUCAUGCCAAUGGCACUGCCCGGUAGCUAAAUGCGGAAGAGAUAAGUGCUGAAAGCAUCUAAGCACGAAACUUGCCCCGAGAUGAGUUCUCCCUGACUCCUUGAGAGUCCUGAAGGAACGUUGAAGACGACGACGUUGAUAGGCCGGGUGUGUAAGCGCAGCGAUGCGUUGAGCUAACCGGUACUAAUGAACCGUGAGGCUUAACCUUACAACGCCGAAGCUGUU